GAUGAACGCUGGCUACAGGCUUAACACAUGCAAGUCGAGGGGAAACGGCAUUGAGUGCUUGCACUGAAUGGACGUCGACCGGCGCACGGGUGAGUAACGCGUAUCCAACCUUCCCGUUACUGCGGGAUAACCUGCCGAAAGGCAGACUAAUACCGCAUGUUCUUCGAUGACGGCAUCAGAUUCGAAGCAAAGAUCCGUCGGUAACGGAGGGGGAUGCGUCUGAUUAGCUAGUUGGCGGGGCGACGGCCCACCAAGGCGACGAUCAGUAGGGGUUCUGAGAGGAAGGUCCCCCACAUUGGAACUGAGACACAGUCCAAACUCCUACGGGAGGCAGCAGUGAGGAAUAUUGGUCAAUGGGCGGAAGCCUGAACCAGCCAAGUAGCGUGCAGGAUGACGGCCCUACGGGUUGUAAACUGCUUUUAUGCGGGGAUAAAGUGAGGGACGCGUCCCUUUUUGCAGGUACCGCAUGAAUAAGGACCGGCUAAUUCCGUG
Molecule: ribosomal RNA, 492 nt
Filed under: uncultured bacterium
Lineage: Bacteria
Description: partial 16S ribosomal RNA
Rfam family: Bacterial small subunit ribosomal RNA
Source: RNAcentral